GUGGUGGAUUACUGGCUAACGGGUGAGUAACACGUGGGCAAUCUGCCCUGCACUCUGGGACAAGCCCUGGAAACGGGGUCUAAUACCGGAUAUUACCUGGUGAGGCAUCUCAUCGGGUGGAAAGCUCCGGCGGUGCACGAUGAGCCCGCGGCCUAUCAGCUUGUUGGUGGGGUGAUGGCCUACCAAGGCGACGACGGGUAGCCGGCCUGAGAGGGCGACCGGCCACACUGGGACUGAGACACGGCCCAUACUCCUACGGGAGGCAGCAGUGGG
This 273-nucleotide ribosomal RNA is filed under the name uncultured Actinomycetales bacterium. RNAcentral's name for it is "partial 16S ribosomal RNA". It matches the Rfam family "Bacterial small subunit ribosomal RNA", at positions 84 to 358 of the family's 1533-position model. The record is from RNAcentral. Lineage: Bacteria; Bacillati; Actinomycetota; Actinomycetes; Actinomycetales.